Molecule: non-coding RNA, 73 nt
Organism: Trichonephila inaurata madagascariensis
Lineage: Eukaryota; Metazoa; Arthropoda; Arachnida; Araneae; Nephilidae
Source: the annotation of a GenBank genome assembly
GUCCUAGUUUCGCAAUGGAUAGCGCGUUGGACAUCUAAUACAAAAGUUGUGGGUUCAAAUCCCAUCUGGGAUG